Molecule: long non-coding RNA, 808 nt
Organism: Anthonomus grandis grandis
Lineage: Eukaryota; Metazoa; Arthropoda; Insecta; Coleoptera; Curculionidae
Exons: 3
Source: RefSeq, a predicted model, not a curated record
GCGACAGUGACGUUCUGUUCAACCUGUCUUUUCUUGUUUAUUUUUGAUUAUUGGCUUAUAUUGAUUUAGUUAGACUUGUUUUGUUUUAUGGUUUAAAAAUAAUGUCCGAUAUACGACAGUGGAACAGAGACUUUGUACUAGAGUUUAUAGAACUUUAUCGGUCAUUUCCUUGCGUGUGGAAAGUUAAAUCGACAGAAUACCAUUAUCGAAUAAAAAAAAAUAAGGCUUAUGAAGCAUUGCUAAUGAAAUACAAAGAAGUGGAUGCUGAAGCAACAGUAAAAUCAGUAAAACAAAAAAUUGUUUCCUUGCGGGGCGCGUUUCGAAAGGAAUUAAAGAAGGUAAAAGACUCCUUGAAUCUGGUGCUGGCUCAGAGGAUACAUACAAACCACACUUUUAGUACUACGACAACUUGAUAUUUUUGACUGAUCACGAGACGACUAGAAGAGGUGUUGGAAAUAUAGAAGACGAAGAUGCACAUGAAAGUAAUUCUGAGAUUGAAACAGUUACAGAGGCACAAUCUCCAGCCGAAAUACUUGAAGAUGAGGUCAGUGACACAGCACUACCCCAAAUAUAUAGAAGUAGGAUGUCAAGUUUGGCCUCAACUUCUAGUAGAGAUGCCCAGACAUCAUCAUCAUCAUUUCGAUCUAAAUUAUCUAAAAGAUCUAGGGCGGAUGAUAUUUUAAAUAAAGUGGACAAACGUUUAGAUCAAAGCGAUGACCAAUUGGACAUUAUCGGUAAAAACAUUGCCCACAAACUAAGAAAAUUACCGCCAGAAGUAGCCCUGGUUACCGAGAAAAUGAUAAACGAC